This 253-nucleotide ribosomal RNA is filed under the name uncultured bacterium. RNAcentral describes it as "partial 16S ribosomal RNA". It matches the Rfam family "Bacterial small subunit ribosomal RNA", at positions 524 to 776 of the family's 1533-position model. The record is from RNAcentral.
UACAGAGGUGGCAAGCGUUGUUCGGAAUUACUGGGCGUAAAGGGCGCGUAGGCGGCCCUCUUAGUCGGACGUGAAAUCCCCAGGCUUAACUUGGGAACUGCGUCCGAUACUGGAGGGCUUGAGUGCGGGAGAGGGAUGUGGAAUUCCAGGUGUAGCGGUGAAAUGCGUAGAUAUCUGGAGGAACACCGGUGGCGAAGGCGGCAUCCUGGACCGACACUGACGCUGAUGCGCGAAAGCUAGGGGAGCAAACGGG